Long non-coding RNA from Carassius auratus (goldfish), 1798 nucleotides. The record is from Ensembl. NCBI's taxonomy places the organism in Eukaryota, Metazoa, Chordata, Actinopteri, Cypriniformes, Cyprinidae.
AUCACUAUGAGGAACUUAAAGAACAAGGCUGAACACUACUAUGAUGGAAUCUUAAAAAUGGAAUUCAUAAGAUGCUUUCUUCAAAAAAAAAAACAAAAAAAAAAAAGUGGUAAUGCCACAAGGCAAGGUUUUUCCUGAGGUAAAGGACUACAUGAACCGGAUUACAAUUACACUUGAAUGAAGCACAAAACAAACAUCAUUUCCAGUUCAAAAUCAACUGAAGGAUCAAGAAGGAUGUGUUUCAUCUUCACCAGUCGAGCACAGUUCUUCAUCAGAGUUGGUGCUUCAUCAUCAUCAUCUCUGUGUUUCUGCUGUAUAUCUCAGGUGCUUUCUCUGAUCCUGUGAGGGUAAAAGUUGAGGGUUUUGUUGGAGACUCAGCUAUCUUGUCUUGUUCCAUCCCUGAAAAUGAGAUUCAAGACAAAAUAGAAAAAUUACACGUAAUCUGGAGAGACGAUAAAGGCAAGAAAGUGUGUGACAUCAUUGGAGGCAGCAUAGCUGAAGACCAAGAGCCAGAGUACAAGGUCAGAGUCGAAACGUUCCCAGAGGAGUAUAAGAAGGGCAACUUCUCCAUCAAACUCAGCAGUCUUCAAAAAAAUGAUGCAAGGAAGUUCCACUGUUACAUAACAAGGGACACAUUUCAGAAAGAGGUCAUCACAGAGCUUCAUGUCAGAGAUAAACCAGAAGGAAGAGGAAACCAUGGAGCACUAUCGUUGAUUGUGUUGUUGAUCAGUUUUCUUUUCACUCACAUUUUGCCAUUUAUCUGAACAAUAUUUUAUUCAGUUCUGUAAGUGUUGCACGGUUGAGUACAGAUCUGAUCAAUCAGCCAAAGUACAGUAUGGUCAUUGUGUGUAAAUUUCACUCUACAUUUCAGAAAAUAACAUGUUGAUCCUUGGUUUUUCAGUCAUUACAUUACAUUACAUUACAUACAUUAUUCCAUUCCAUUCAUUUUGUUCAUCUUAGUCAUUGCACAACUUGGCAAACCUUGUAUGCAUCAGUGUUUAUACUAAAGAUGUAACAGUUUCAGUCAUUGUCAUUUCUGUCAGUCGUGUGUGCAAUUAAAACUAUAUAACAUCAACCCUGUUAAUAAACUGAAAAAUAAAAUAUUUUACAUAUCUGACUAAGCCUCACUUUACUUGUGUUGCAUGUAAGUCAUGAAACAUUUGGAUUACAAAAAAUUACAGCUAGUUGCCAGAGCAACAUUUCUCAUUUGAAUUUGUACAUACAUGAAAGAUUAAAAAACCAUUAACAAUAACAAACAUAGUAAUAAAACUUUAAAAUUAAAUCUAAUACAGAAAACAUAUUUAUUAGUAUUCAAAAUCUUAACUAAAUUAAUUAUUAAUAAUAUUCCAGUAAAUCUUAAAUGGCACUGAAUGUUUGUCAAUAAAUUUGCCACAUAGCACUUCAUCAAAUAUCAAAUACUGAUAAAUGUUGACUCAUAUAGAGAAGGUGCACUUAGAAAAGAGUAGUUUUGACAAAUAUUUUUAAAUGUAAAAUAAUGCAUGCUUAUUAUAAGAUGUAAGUGGCUUAGAAAAACUGCUUUACUACAACGUGUUGCAAAAUGGAGGCUGUCUUGUUGAGAUCGUUUGACCAGAUGAACUUAUUUUUAUCUCAGUAACCCCCCAAUGACUCUACAGUUUCAGUUGUGGAAGGUAGAAAGAUAAAAUGGAGCAAGGACUACUCUUAACACAAGACAUGAAUUGUUUUGCUUCUGGUUAUUUUGCUUUAUAAUCUGCUAUUUUGUUUGUCCAACUGGUUAUUAAUAGUAUUAUUUUAUAAUCUGGUUGGUUGUCAGACUUUU